Molecule: ribosomal RNA, 458 nt
Filed under: uncultured microorganism
Description: bacterial SSU rRNA
Rfam family: Bacterial small subunit ribosomal RNA
Source: RNAcentral
GCGCAGCAGUCGAGAAUAGUCUACAAUGGACGAAAGUCUGAUAGUGCGACGCCGUGUGUGCGAUUAAUUCCUUCGGGAUGUAAAGCACUUUUCUAUGAGAUAAAAGCUCUUUAGGUUAAUAGCUUAUUGAGACGGAUAUUAUUAUAGGAAUAAGCUCCGGCUAACUCCGUGCCAGCAGCCGCGGUAAUACGGAAGGAGCGAGCGUUGUCCGGAUUUACUAGGCGUAAAGGGCUAGUAGGCGACUAAUUAAGUUAUAUGUUAAAUCCCACGGCUCAACUGUGGUCCUGCAUGUAAUACUGGUUAGAUAGAGUACUGUAGAGGAAGGCAGAAUUCCUGGAGUAGCGGUGGAAUGCGCAGAUAUCAGGAAGAAUACCAAAAGCGAAGGCAGCCUUCUGGGCAGUUACUGACGCUGAAUAGCGAAGGUGUGGGUAGCGAACAGGAUUAGAUACCCGUGUAGU